CUCCUCUUUUGUUUGUUUCGAUUAUCUGUUUGCAUUGUAACCUAUGUUAGAAAUGCCAAAAGGGACACAGACAUGCUUCUCCAUGGCAACAAUCUGAUUAACAGCAACAGGUUGUUCCUCAAAUAUUCUAGCAACAAUUAUUUGGACAUAUAAUGCAGACACAACAUGUAAUGAAAUUUUAUUAAUAAUAUAACUAUUAAGUGACAAAAGCAGCGCACUUCAGAGCAUCAUCACCCACAGUUUUUGAUUGUGUAGUUUUGCAGAUUACUACAAUGGUCCACACUCAAAAACAAGAUGAAUCAUUGCUGUUUAUGGUGUGCCUUAGCCGCCAUUGCUUAUGAAAUCAAUGUGGCAUUUAAAGUGUCUUACUGUUCAUAUUAGUGAUUAGUCAAUACCAGAACUUUUUCCUUCGCGUUUUGAAAAAAAAAAUCACUUGCAACAUAAACACAGAAAAGAUUUAAAAAAAACUCCCAAUAAUUUACAAUACCAUAAAAAAAGGGAUAAAACUAUUAGAUAAAUUAUUUUGUUUAAGAACUGCUAGCUGCAGUUGCUAUCCCUGUCAUGAUUUUGCUCUUAAGUCUCACCACUAUGAGAGCAUGAGUGCAUCCCACUGCAUUACAUGGAUCAAUGAGAGGUGUUGGUGCUAGUCAUUACUGGUAGCAUUGCAAAUACAACUUUAAGACAGUGAAAAUAUAUGUGAUUUCAUCAAAUUGAAUCCUUAGCACAAAACUUAAGGAUGAAAACCACAUUCGAAUGUCCCAUUCAAAAUCUGGCAUCACAAACUCCUUAUAAAAGCUUGGAUCACAAACUCGCCAAAACUUGGACUGUUAAAUUGUAUAAAUUCUAUUUUAGCACGCUUUUUUGAAUGUUGACUCAAACAAGUCAGGAGCCUUUUUGCAGUUUUACAACCUUCAAAUAAAACCAAAGGGGCCAGAGCAAUGCAUAAUGGUUUCUUCAACAUGAUUGCUUAAUUUGGUGGUUUUAAAUCCUAGUUUUACUUUGAUAAUGUCCAUAUACUUAAAACAUAAACACUCAAAAUGAAAAAACUUGGGCCUGAUUUUCUAGUAAUUUUGGUGAAGAUUCAAAUCAAGCGAAGAGGAUCCAGUGAAAAUUGUAUAACUCAAAAACCAAAGGCCUCAUAACCAAAAUUGUUAAAGUUUUAUGAUUGACAACAAGAGCCAUAUAAAUCUUAACUGAUUAGAAUACAGUUCUAAUAGUUUGUGAAAGAAAAUCUUCAAUGAUGUCCAUAUACUUAACUGAUGAAGUAACAAAAGCAAAAGCAGUUGGUAGUACACAGGAUUACGGCUAUUACACUUAAAAUUAUGAUUCAGACAAAUAACAUCUCAAGAAAUUUCUGCAUCAGAAUUAAAAAGUAAUGGUUUUCACUGUUCAAAUUUUUUAUUUGUUUCAACUAAAUGGCCGUACACAACACAAAACCAGCAGAAGAAUUAACUAAUAGAAUGAACAGGUUAAUUAUGGCUAACAGUUAUACUGACAACUUUAGAAUAAAGCCUCUAUGUUAAAUGAAGCAUAGUACUUGUAUCAUUUUUAUAUCAGAUAAGACUUCUAUAAGAAUUAUAUGCAUCUAACAGUCACUUUAAAGCACAGUAUUUCAAAUAACUACAACUAUUACUACUACUUUAAAGACAGUCCAAAGCACUUCCAAGAACGUCUGAAAUAUAUUUAAGAGGCAUGAGGGGUUUUUCUUAUAGGCUGGCAGAUGACUAAGUAGAAGAUCAAAAUAAUCAGGGAAAAUCACGCUCUCUCUGAGAUCAGUAUAGCAUCUCAUGGAUUAAAUAUGCUCAUACAAUCUAUAGAAAAUGCUAUGACAAUGAAUUCUAAGAUACCCACUGCUUAAUGCUUUAUGGAAUGGGUUUUGAAGCACACAGCUAAUUUUAAAAGAGUUUCCAGAGGACAGCACUGCCUCACAGUCCAAAAUUUAUUACUGACUACAUUAGCAUUUGUGCAUGGGGCUCAAAGUCAUGCCUCAUUUACUUGAAUUGACAACUAUCAAAUUGUGAUACUUGACCUAAGUAUAUGAGCAAAUUCUCUUGAAUGAAAAUCAAGAUAGUUGGGCAUCAAUGUAUUCCCCCAAAACUAUCUGGUGUCUGUAUUCAAACCAAAUCAGAAAUGCACUGGUAAAGGUAUAGAUCUAUGUGGAGCCUUUUACACAAUUUUACCUUGAAACUCCCUGGGCUUUUAUUCAUUUAUUUGUUACCUUAAGCUCUGUGGCAAUUUUUUCACCAAUUUUUAUGAAAAUGCUCCAGGUAAAAAGGUUUACUGUAUCCAACUCACAAUGAAAAUCCACUAAAGGUAAAGCAACAAAAACAUAUUCCAUAAGCUAAAAUCAGUUGUAGUUAAGCUCAAGUUUUCACACAAGAAACAAUAAUCUCAUCAAUCAUAACUUUCAAGACAAAAUGAAUACAUAAAAAACUUCAUUAAUAUGAAAUUCUUAAAUAUUUUUUUGAGGCCAAGCACAGCACGAGACGACCUAUUAUAGUGAUGUGCCAGAACAAGAUGACAAAGCAUGGGGUGAUGAAAUCCCUCGAACAUGGCAGGGUAGGUCAUGCAUUACAUCCAUGAGUCAGAUCCACUGACAUAGUUCCAGCUCAUGUGAAUUUUUUUAGUAUUUUAAAUUUUUUGGCAGAGGAGAGAAGAAAAGAUUUCCAAAAAUAAAAUUCUCAUCUAUUGAUAGCCUUGGAACAAACUAACAUACAAAAAUGAUUGCACAGAAAAUUCAAUUUGAAUAUAGUACAUUACCAUUCACUAUUAUAUCAUUAGUCGUGAAAAUUUAUGAAUUAUAUGUUAAGGUAGAACUUUAACCUCUAAAGGGAAAAAAUCACAUUUGACACAGUAAAUGCAAGAGAAAAAGGACAUAACUUCUAAAAGAAAAAACAAAAGAAUAUACUUGUAAGGUUGACAACCAUGCAUUGCAAAAUGGUCAACUCUUUCUUCUCAAUUAACCGAAUCUUGAAUGCAGUCAUGUCCCAAACAUUUGAGUUAAUAGUUGCAUGUUGACCUGGAAAAACAUUAAUCUUUGAUGCUAUUGUUGCCAUCAGUGGGUUAAGUUUAUCAUGUGCCAUGACAGUAAGCACAAGAAUUUAUUUUCUUUUGUUUAUCCUUUUGGUGCAAGCACAAAUGGACUUGGACAAGGGUUUCAGCAAAUUGAAGUUAUAAGUGAUAAGAAGUGAUAGGUAGACUUAAGAUGAUGAUGAUGUGGGGGGCACUAAUAAGAAAUGAUUUAGCAGCUUUAGAUCUUUCUGAAAAUAUAACCUUAUAUCAAUUGGAACAAUACACCUGACCUAAGGUUUAGUAGAGUUGAGUUAUCUUUUAGAAGUAAACCCUUCUCUCUUUAUAAUUAACAUGUCAAAUGUGAUUUUUUUUUCUUCUUUGAGAUUAACAUUCUACCUCAAUAUUACAUAUUCACAAAUAAUAACUUAUAAGUGAAUAGUGAUGAUUGAACUUUUUAUGUAUCAUUUUUGUGCAAGCAUUUUGUUCCAAGACUAUUAAUAAAAGAGAAGGUUCAACUUCAUUUUCAGAAUUCUUUUCUUCCCCCUUUGCUAAAAAGACUUUUGCAGGCCAGCCCACGAGCCGCUACUGUGCCAACCAAACACUAUAAAGUAGGUCUUGGUCCAUGCCAGCAUGUCACGGAUGAGGGUGCCACUCAACUAUGACAUACCAGCAUAUCCUGCCACUGCAUAGCAUCAUGCCUCUAAAUGUGG
RNAcentral lists this unclassified non-coding RNA (3722 nucleotides) under Hevea brasiliensis (rubber tree). The record is from RNAcentral. Lineage: Eukaryota; Viridiplantae; Streptophyta; Magnoliopsida; Malpighiales; Euphorbiaceae.